Molecule: long non-coding RNA, 2650 nt
Organism: Spinacia oleracea (spinach)
Lineage: Eukaryota; Viridiplantae; Streptophyta; Magnoliopsida; Caryophyllales; Amaranthaceae
Exons: 5
Source: RefSeq, a predicted model, not a curated record
UAACUUCAACCGACAUUUUCCUUCUGAGUUGAUCCAUUCUCAGAUCUCAGCCCUAAUUAUCAAAUCUCCAAAACUCAUUUACACCUUCGCAAAUCUCACCGGCGAUUAUUAUUUCCUCUUUAUCUUUGAUCUACUCCAUCGCAAAUCCAAUCUCUGAAAGCCUAACCAGCAUUCAUCUCUCUUUGUAAAUUUCAUUGUGAAUCUCCCUUUCAAUCUUCCUCCAAAGAUCUCGUAAUCUUUCGAUUUUACAUCAAGAUUUCAAUAGCUGUCUACAGAGAGAUGAAAAGAGGGAGGAAGAGAGAGAAAGAAUUCGACCUUCUGCGGCUCGAUGUUCAACCUUCGUUGUUGGCUUUGCGGUAUGGAUUCGAGCCUUAAUCUCUAUUUGUUCUUGGAAGUUUGUUUGGUUUAUGAUGUUUGGGUGAUUUGAUUGAUUUUAGGGUUGAUUGUUCUUCGUUUGAUUUGAUGUAAUUUUGGGUGGUUUUAUUGACUGGAAGACCGAUUCAGGUCAUUUUUUGGUUAAUUUUGUUUUUUGUUUUUGUUUUUUUCAUGUUAUUUAGGUCGAUUUUGUUAAUUUUUCUGGCCAAAUUGGUUUGAGUUUUUGGAAUUUACUCGAUUUCAUUUGUUUUUGGAAUUUUUUUGGCCAAAUUGGUUUGAGUUUUUGGAAUUUACUCGGAUUCCUGGACCUGCCUAAGGGAGAUGAUCAGACCACUGAUCAUGAAGCGGAUGAGAAUGAAGCUGCUUCAUGGUUGCUACUUUAACCCAGGUAAUCAGUUCUGCGAGCCAUCGUAUAACCAGCAGCAGGAAUUCAGUGUCCCUGAGAAGAACUUUGGAGAUGACAGUGUCGUACCAGUUAAGUCUAGGGAACCAAAAGAUCACCAAAUACAGUACCAGAACUCUUCAGUUAUUCAAAGGGGGCACUGGUAUGGGAACUGGCCGGGAUAAAUUGGAAGAAAGGGCCGGUAUUUUAUCAUCUUAGCAUUGGAGGAAGACGGAUUAGGUGAAGUUGUUCCUUCUCCUUCUGGCUCAAGCCUUGCGAUCGCAAAAGAAGGUGAACUCAAAAUAGGAACCAUUGAUGAUAUUCAGAAGCUUCAUAUUCGAUCUAUUCCUCUGGGAGAACAUGCUCGGCGUAUCUGCCACCAGGAACAAACUCGCACUUUUUCCAUUUGUAGUUUGAAGUACAACCAAGCUAGUGCAGAGGAAUCUGAAAUGCAUUUUGUACGCUUGUUGGAUGACCAAACCUUUGAGAUCAUUUCUACUUAUGCACUUAAUACUUAUGAAUGUGGUUGCUCCAUACUGAGUUGCUCAUUCUCAGAUGACAUCAAAGUUUACUACUGUGUUGGAACAACAUAUGUUUUACCUGAGGAAAAUGAGCCAACCAAGGGAAGAAUUCUGGUUUUUGUUGUUGAAGACGGAAAGCUGCAACUCAUUGCUGAGAAAGAAACUAAAGGUGCAGUGUACUCACUUAAUGCCUUCAACGGCAAGCUGCUUGCUGCCAUCAAUCAGAAAAUUCAGCUUUAUAAGUGGAUGCUUCGGGAUGAUGGAACUCACGAGUUACAGUCUGAAUGUGGACACCAUGGGCACAUUCUUAUCAGUUGUAUGUCCAGACUCGUGGUGAUUUCAUUGUUGUUGGGGAUCCGAUGAAAUCAAUUUCUCUACUAAUAUACAAGGCACGGAAUUCAGUAAAAGUAUCUAGACUGCAUCUUUUCUCUGUCUGUAUGUGUUGUUGCUUGUAAUCCAGUCAAGCACUAUUUUUCUGUUUUGUGCUAACCUGAAUCAUUCAGAAAGAUUGAAUUCUGGAGUUUUGGUAGUCGAACCGUAUGUUGGUGUUGCUUGUUUGGGAGCUAUUUUGUUUGGAUAUCACCUUGUGAAGUGGGUUGAACAAGGUCUUUACCUUGUAUAGUUGUGCACAAUGGAGGCUUAUAUGCAUGCUCUCACUUUAUGUAAUUCUGUCUAUAUGUCAAUUAAUAAAACUGCUAAUUAGCUGUUAUGGACCAGAGCUGAAAUUUUGCAGUUCUGCAAUGCUGACAUAAUUAUUAGCAAUGCGAAUUAAAUCAGGCUUUGAUGUACAAGAGCUAUCUGAAGAUGCUCCAGAUGAUCAGGAGGGACUGGAUGCUACAGUAACGCAUGUGGUAAAUUUGCUGUCUACUGAGCCCACUGACAUUCUCUAGGCAUCCAAGACCCAUCUGUGUGACUGGAGAUCUUAUUAAUCAACCUGGAGAAUCGACGGGAAUAUUGCUACUGCUGAAUUCUUGCUGAGAUUAAUCGAUACAAAGUUUAAUCAUCUUUUAGGGGUGUUUAGUGGUGGCAGAUUAACAUGCUAGCUGUUUGGACUUGUAUAGACCAUCCUCGCAUGCAAUAUUCUGGAUUAGAAGUUGAGAAACAUGCCUCUCUAGUCUCUUAGUUAGGUUGAUUGACCUGAAUGGCGGUGGGUCAAAUGUUGUCCGGGAAAACAAAUGACAUUUUGAUACAAUCGCCAUCUCUUGGUAUAGAUAUAGAUUCCUUUUAUUUGCAGGGUUUGAGAAGGUACAUCUGUAUUACUUAUUUAUGUAUUUAUGGAUAUUAUUUAUGGAUGUUAGACCAUAAUUAUGGAGGCUAGUACCGAGUAGUAGUACCAAUGUAUUACUGCAGGAAUUUAUUUUUUUUGUAAAAU